Molecule: ribosomal RNA, 465 nt
Filed under: uncultured bacterium
Lineage: Bacteria
Description: partial 16S ribosomal RNA
Rfam family: Bacterial small subunit ribosomal RNA
Source: RNAcentral
GACGAACGCUGGCGGCGUGCUUAACACAUGCAAGUCGAACGGAAAGGCCCUGCUUGCAGGGUAUUCGAGUGGCGAACGGGUGAGUAACACGUGGGUGAUCUGCCCUGCACUUCGGGAUAAGCCUGGGAAACUGGGUCUAAUACCGGAUAGGAGCCAUUUUUAGUGUGAUGGUUGGAAAGUUUUUUCGGUGUAGGAUGAGCUCGCGGCCUAUCAGCUUGUUGGUGGGGUAAUGGCCUACCAAGGCGGCGACGGGUAGCCGGCCUGAGAGGGUGGACGGCCACAUUGGGACUGAGAUACGGCCCAGACUCCGACGGGAGGCAGCAGUGGGGAAUAUUGCACAAUGGGCGCAAGCCUGAUGCAGCGACGCCGCGUGGGGGAUGACGGCCUUCGGGUUGUAAACUCCUUUCGCUAGGGACGAAGCUUUUUGUGACGGUACCUAGAUAAGAAGCACCGGCUAACUACGUG